GUUACAGUAUAUGUAGCCUUAUCUUUCCAAGAGCUCCCUCCAUCUUCAGGUGCCAUUAUCCUAUAUCUCUGUAUCUCUUUCAUUUUUAUAAGGAGACCAAGCAACAACAGAGUAAAGACAAGAAUAACCUCAUCUUAGCAAUUUGAAAUCAAUGUGUUUCCACAUACAGCUACAUUCUGAAGUUCUGGGAAGUAUAUGACUUCUGGCGGAGAUGCUGUCCAAUCUAUUUCCACUCAACAGUAAAGAAAAAGAUUCCCGUGUUAUACAGGAUGCAAAAAUGAUUGAGGAAAAACCACUGUUG
Long non-coding RNA from Dipodomys spectabilis (banner-tailed kangaroo rat), 301 nucleotides. RefSeq lists it as uncharacterized. The transcript has 3 exons. The record is from RefSeq and is a predicted model, not a curated record. Lineage: Eukaryota; Metazoa; Chordata; Mammalia; Rodentia; Heteromyidae.